GUGAAUCAUCUUGACAAUGAAAUAGUGCAUUUAUCAGUUUUGUAAUGGGACAUCACUGCUCAAGUAUCCAGAAGGUAAACUAGAUGUAUUUCUCAUACAUCAAUUGGGCAAGUUUGAGAGAUAGCUGUCUCAAUUUGUCCAGAAAUUUAUUUACCUGUACCUCCACAAGUAAAAUAUUUAUUUAGCCCUCUGUCUUUGUUUUUUCCAUAUUCUAAGUUUAUACCCGAUGUAUAAAUCUACAUAUACUUUCUUACCUUUGUUUAGUUACGAUAAACUUUAUUCAUCAAUUGGGACUAUUUAAUAUUUAAGUGUUGUGGGUGGAUAAUAUAGAUAUGGAUCUAGGGGUUAUUUAGUGUUUUAAGUACCAACAGAGGAGGGCAAUUCAUGCACAUACUUUAGCUUUUUAUUUUGGAUAUAAUAUGUCAGAAUGACAGAGGUCAAUCUCUAGAUAUAGGUUCAGGAGGGGUUAAUUGAAGCCAUUUUUGUAAUGAAUAUGAUGGGUAUUUUUUUAACCAAACAAAAUGGAUUUGAUGGCUAUGGUCUUCUAUGAGGAUUACUGGAUUAGAGUGUACAACUGCAUUGAUUGCUACCAAAAUAGUAUCUAAUCUAAUUAGUAAAAUGACGUAUCUCUUUUUCUGACACGCUUGUGACACUGAGGCUGACUCAAAUAUCUCAUUAAACAACAUGUGCAUGUCUACAUUUAUGUGUAAUGCUCAUGUCGGCUGCACAUAGGCGUUUCUUAGCUUGAUCUGAUGGUGAUCAAUUGAAAAUUGUUGCUGUAGAUUUUCCUGGAGAUCGAAUUGUCCUUUUGUGAUCCUAGGUUUGGAUACAGUGCUGCGAUUUUCUGCUCUCCCACCGUAAGAACACAAGAUGUGGAUAGAGAAUUGUUGAUAGUCUUGGUGUUGCUUGGACUUACUUUUAGUGUCCCUAUAGUGAAUUACUUUCCUGUCUUCAUAGUCAAUUCAAAGCUCCUUACAGACACCUCAUGUUUCACAGUGUACCACAUUUGCAUGUACAUAAUGCGCUCGACCACAAUAAUGUUGUCGUUAAGAGUCGAACGAUGGUUUGUGUUCACAACUGAAACCAUUGGAUUUUGUUUUUGACAUCCUCAAGGAGGAAUUAACCAAGAGCUUGCUGCAGCAAAGAAGGUUGCUUUGCUACUUCUAUGAAUCUUCGACCACAACUGGAACCAUUAUAGGGACUUACUUUUAGUGUCCCUAUAAUGCGCUCGACCACGACUGAAAAUGGUUACUUGAGAUGUCAAAUUCAGAAUCAUGAGUAACCUUGUAAGUUUACCUGCUUAUAUACCUUGCUACCUUUAAAAACUGUGGAAGAGUUAUGGUCAAGUAAGUAUGAAACAAUCACGUUACUGUAAAGAAAUUAUUUCACAUCACUCUUGAACAAGAAUCCCAAGUUUAAGUGUCACAAUAUGAUACUUGCAUAUGGACAUAAAUGUCCAGGUGACAUUAACUUUGAUUUCUGGGUUAUACUUUUUACUUACCUUAUUUGGCCAUGAUGACUGUUAUUUUCUCCUGGGUUGCGUACAAGACUGACUUCUUUCUGGUAUGGACCAGUAGUGUGUUAAGCAUCAUCAAAGUUUUGGGAGAUCCUUCAGUGCGUUCAUUCAUCCUUGUCAAUUGUCAUGGUUGUUGUUUUGCAGCAACUAUUCCACGUCCAAAGCCUUCAAAAAAUGGCCAGCACGAUUUCCAAAUGCUUGCCUAUGUGGUGUACCUUUAAGACAACACGAUCAGUCAGGCCCUUAUCUUCAUGACACGCUCUUGUAGCUGGUCCUUUGUGGAGCGUCCUGGGUUCUUGCUAGCGUUUGCUUCUUGGUGGCGCAACUGGUGAGUCGUCUCAGCUCAAUCCAUUUUCAUGCCUUACCGCGAUGUUGUCGCCUUUCUGUGUCUCAUCUUGCUGCUCAUGCUUGUCAUGCUUGCAGAUUGCUACUCUGAUUACUGUAUACACCAACUGGGCAUUUGCUGCGAUCAAGGGCAUUAGAUGAGGCUGGGCCGACACAUCUGGUUGUACAAUAUCAUUUCCUACUUUCUGCUGGAUAUCAUCAAGUUCCUCAUCCGUUAUGUGCUGAGCAGGGGAGCGUGGAACCUCGUCCUUGAGUAGAGGGUAAGAACAUGCAUAAGAGAAUGGUUGUUGAGUCUUUGAAGGUUUAGUUUGGUAAUCAUCUGUUUUUGCUGGCAUGCACGUUCAGAUUGCAUUCACAAGCAAGAACUUCGGUGCCUAAGAAAGGGAAUGUAUGUGGGCACAUGCUCAGAGGAGGUCUCUGCACAGGCUCCAGCCACCAGAGGCAUCCAUCUUCGAGAACAAGACGACCUUCUUCUUAUCAAAUCAAAUUAGUUACUGCAUUACGUAAGUAUGUAGAGUGACAGGGAACAUUCACUGCAAUUAUGCGUUAACUGGUGUAUUUUUGUAUAGCCGAGUUGAUGUUCAAAGAAACUAAAAAUAUUCAAAAUAGGUGGUUGGAGAACUGAAGGACAAAAUAGAUUAAGGCUUUAGAGAAGAAUCCUCAUAAAUUGGCGGUUGGAGAACUGCAGGAUGGAUCUACACAUAAAUAGCACUAAUGGUUCCCGCAUCAACGCAUGUGGGCCACUGACAGAUUACUACAUUCCUGAUUACAUACUGAAGCCGGCCUCUAAACCAGUCACUGUGUAUAAUGUGCUAUGAUGCGCUGUGAUAGUGUUAAUCAACUCUAGAAGUGGUGGCCAACUGGGAACGGUCUGAUCAAAAAUAUGCAUUCCCUACACUAUACAUGUUUUUCUUUUUGCAGCUAAGGCUGCAAGAGAGGGAUACAAAAAUAAUUUCAUGUAUUAUCCAACAUCUUGCUCUUGCAUAUAACUACACCUUUACAUAUUGUCCAUGCGGCAAACAAAUAUAUUUUGUUGUUCAUAACCUUUUUCUCUCUAGCUCCUAGCCUAUAAUAGUUUUCUUACAGGUGUACUUUUGGAGUCUUCCAAGUUGUGCUGGGAACUAGGUACUAUCAUGACUUAUUCCUCCCAAAUCUUCUUUCCUUGGAUAGUUUGAUGAAUCGGUGAUUGAUAAGUUGUUGGUCUUAAUUAAUAACUAACAGUAAGAUACAAUAUCAAGAAACAAUACCUUUGUUCCAUGAUUUUUGAAUGAUGGGUAUUAAAGAACAUUAACUUUGGGACCUUUUCCAAGCAUACAGGAAAAGGAAGGAGCCUGAUGUAGAGAAGCAAAAGGAACCAAUUCUAGAGCAUGCCACAGUGUCACUUGCCAGUCAUUAUCACCUAAAAUUUACAACUCGCGAUGUGUUUCUUCCCUUUGAUUUAUUUGUAAGCAGGAAGCAUCUUUGUUGAAUACAACAAAUCAAGCUUGUGGGCUUUUCAAUGAAGCUGAGGUAGGUUACCUCUGGACAUCUAUUGUGCCAUGCUUCAUGGUUGAAAUUUCUUGUUUAUCUAUCUAUAAUGACAACUUUUUCCUUUUUGUGCUUGGUGGACAGAAAUGUUGCAUAGAUAUUAUGCAUUGAUUUUCGAUUUUGUGAAGUCCACUGCAUUUUCAAAUAAUGUAUCAUCUUCAUGAGUGGUGUUGGUUAUUAUGCUUUGGAAAAUAAAGAUGAUCUUUACAUGUUUUUA
This is a long non-coding RNA of Zea mays, 3605 nucleotides long. RefSeq lists it as uncharacterized. The transcript has 2 exons. The record is from RefSeq and is a predicted model, not a curated record. NCBI's taxonomy places the organism in Eukaryota, Viridiplantae, Streptophyta, Magnoliopsida, Poales, Poaceae.